GAUGAACGCUGGCGGCGUGCCUAAUACAUGCAAGUCGAGCGAACGGACGAGAAGCUUGCUUCUCUGAUGUUAGCGGCGGACGGGUGAGUAACACGUGGAUAACCUACCUAUAAGACUGGGAUAACUUCGGGAAACCGUAGCUAAUACCGGAUAAUAUUUUUAACCGCAUGGUUCAAAAGUGAAAGACGGUCUUGCUGUCACUUAUAGAUUGAUCCGCGCUGCAUUAGCUAGUUGGUAAGGUGACGGCUUACCAAGGCAACGAUGCAUAGCCGACCUGAGGGGGUGAUCGGCCACACUGGAACUGAGACACGGUCCAGACUCCUACGGGAGGCAGCAGUAGGGAAUCUUCCGCAAUGGGCGAAAGCCUGACGGAGCAACGCCGAGUGAGUGAUGAAGGUCUUCGGAUCGUAAAACUCUGUUAUUAGGGAAGAACAUAUGUGUAAGUAACUGUGCACAUCUUGACGGUAACUAAUCAGAAAGCCACGGCUAACUACGUG
RNAcentral lists this ribosomal RNA (497 nucleotides) under uncultured bacterium. RNAcentral's name for it is "partial 16S ribosomal RNA". It matches the Rfam family "Bacterial small subunit ribosomal RNA", at positions 28 to 507 of the family's 1533-position model. The record is from RNAcentral.